GAUGAACGCUGGCGGCGUGCCUAAUACAUGCAAGUCGAGCGAACAGACGAGGAGCUUGCUCCUCUGACGUUAGCGGCGGACGGGUGAGUAACACGUGGAUCACCUACCUCUAUGACUGGGAUAACUUCGGGAAACCGGAGCUAAUACCGGCUCAUAUAUUGAACCGCAUGGUUCAAUAGUGAAUGACGGUUUUGCUGUCACUUAUAGAUGGAUCCGCGCCGCAUUAGCUAGUUGGUAAGGUAACGGCUUACCAAGGCAACGAUGCGUAGCCGACCUGAGAGGGUGAUCAGCCACACUGGAACUGAGACACGGUCCAGACUCCUACGGGAGGCAGCAGUAGGGAAUAUUGCGCAAUGGGCGAAAGCUUGACGGAGCAACACCGCGUGAGUGAUGAAGGUCUUCGGAUCGUAAAACUCUGUUAUUAGGGAAGAACAAAUGUGUAAGUAACUAUGCACGUCUUGACGGUACCUAAUCAGAAAGCAACGGCUAACUACGUG
Molecule: ribosomal RNA, 497 nt
Filed under: uncultured bacterium
Lineage: Bacteria
Description: partial 16S ribosomal RNA
Rfam family: Bacterial small subunit ribosomal RNA
Source: RNAcentral